AUGGAAAACGAAGCACCCGAGCAAGUUCUAGCACUAGCUUCCAGCAGGGAGGGCAACAAAAAGCAAGUGACUAGCAGCAGAAAAGAGAGGCAAUCAGAAACCAAGACUGUCGUUCCUCCUAGAACAAAAAUACAAAAGAGAAAGGACAAAACUCAACUCAUCAGCGAAGGAGCUACCUUGCAGCAGCAGCAGCCAAGUCCUCUAAUGGUGCUCCCGCCAGCAGUUAGAGGCGUCGAGAAUGAACUAACUAAAACCAAGAAGAAAAACAAAAGACAACGGUUGGAAGAAGACGAGGAUGAUGCCAGCAAAGAGUCAGAGCGUGAUGCUGCCGACGACGACGAUGGCACAAAACAUGAUGAUGAUCUCAUUCGUACAGAGGGCAGUGACGCCGCAGGGGACAACGGUGGCGCCGCAGAGGAUAGCAACGAUGAUGUAAAACCAAACCAGAAGCGCACAAAGAGGAGAAAGACAAGUGGAAAAGAAUUGGCAGCACCAACGGAUGAUGAACAGGAGGCAACAAAAAAUAUGGACAAAUGCGAAAUCAAGGCAGGAGCAGCAUUUGAUCAGGUCAAUAGAGCAUGGAAUUUACUUGAAGAACGUCACCGACAAGAUUUUAGGACAGUCGGGUUUGGAAGCAUAGAGAAAUGCCAAAUAAAGCGCUCCAUCUGCAAACUGCUUGCAGCACACAUCUAUGACAACUUGGACACAGAAAGCAUGACAAUAAUGUUCGGUGAAGCUGAUCAGCAGAAAGAAAUCAAGAUAACAAAGGAAGGCAUCCACAAGGUGUUUGGAUACCAAAAAUGGUACGCAAAAGUCAGCUCCAAGGCCAUAGAUUUCCACCGAUACAAUGAGCGAACUGGUCAUAGAACUUCACCUCGGCAAAAUGGAAUUCCACCACGAAGAUCUGUUUAA
RNAcentral lists this ribosomal RNA (912 nucleotides) under Triticum aestivum (bread wheat). Its description in RNAcentral is "partial small subunit ribosomal RNA". Lineage: Eukaryota; Viridiplantae; Streptophyta; Magnoliopsida; Poales; Poaceae. The record is from RNAcentral.